RNAcentral lists this ribosomal RNA (741 nucleotides) under uncultured Pseudomonadota bacterium. Its description in RNAcentral is "bacterial SSU rRNA". It matches the Rfam family "Bacterial small subunit ribosomal RNA", at positions 61 to 781 of the family's 1533-position model. The record is from RNAcentral. Lineage: Bacteria; Pseudomonadati; Pseudomonadota.
GUCGAACGCGAAAGUCCCGCAAGGGGCAAGUAGAGUGGCAAACGGGUGAGUAACACGUGGGUGACCUGCCUUCGAGCGGGGGAUAACGUCCCGAAAGGGACGCUAAUACCGCAUGACAUCCUGCCUUUGAACAGGUGGAGAUCAAAGCUGGGGAUCGCAAGACCUAGCACUUGAAGAGGGGCCCGCGCCUGAUUAGCUAGUUGGUGAGGUAACGGCUCACCAAGGCGACGAUCAGUAUCCGGCCUGAGAGGGCGGACGGACACACUGGGACUGAGACACGGCCCAGACUCCUACGGGAGGCAGCAGUGGGGAAUUGUUCGCAAUGGGCGCAAGCCUGACGACGCAACGCCGCGUGGAGGAUGAAGACCUUCGGGUCGUAAACUCCUUUCGAUCGAGACGAAUGGCCUCCGGGUGAACAAUCUGGAGGAGUGACGGUACCGAGAGAAGAAGCCCCGGCUAACUCCGUGCCAGCAGCCGCGGUAAUACGGGGGGGGCAAGCGUUGUUCGGAAUUACUGGGCGUAAAGGGCUCGUAGGCGGCCAACUAAGUCAGACGUGAAAUCCCUCGGCUUAACCGGGGAACUGCAUCUGAUACUGGAUGGCUUGAGUUCGGGAGAGGGAUGCGGAAUUCCAGGUGUAGCGGUGAAAUGCGUAGAUAUCUGGAGGAACACCGGUGGCGAAGGCGGCAUCCUGGACCGACACUGACGCUGAGGAGCGAAAGCCAGGGGAGCAAACGGGAUUAG